GGGGGGGAGGGGGGUCUCUUUUUUUACCUUGUGAUAUUUUUGUUUCAGUAAAUAAAAGAAUAUUGCUGUUGAAAUAUUUGUAAACAAAUCAUUCCACUCCAAAUUUUUCUUUCAUUUUUGUUUUCAAAUUGAGGUCAAAGUUUUAUGUUCCAUGUAUUUUACUGAAACAAAUGUAUAUAACUAGCUUCAUUCUCAUCUUUUAUACAAUCUUUACUGUAUAAGAGUGUUAAAGUAUUAGUAAAUAAAACAUCUUUGUUAAGUGCCUUGAUAUCAGACCAAUGUAGACCUAGAUGUAAACAUUGAAGAAAUUAUUGGAUUGAAAAUAUUCCCUUGUGGUGUUUUUAUUUUUUUAUCAUUCAGUGUCAUGUUUUUGUUUUGCUGUUAAUCCAUGUUUUAGUCAAACUAAAAUAAUAUUUUUACAAAGCUUAUAUCAACUUUGUCUGGUAAAAAGUUUGAACUUGUUAUUUCUCCCACACCAAAUCUAGGACCAAGCUGAAAUUUCGCACUAUUAUAAUUCUUGUACCUGACAAAACAAGAAUCAAAUAAAAAAUUAACCAAUUAGUUAAUUAACUAUUGCUGAUUAAUUAUUUUGUUUGGUAAUGAACAAUGGAAAGAAAUAGUACUUGACAGAUGUAGUGAUAUAAGCUGAAUGGGUCCUCUUGAAGAGAAUUGUGCCCCGAGUUCAAAUUCAAAUCUAAAAUUUUUUUUUAUCAAUUGUUAUCUAUUACAAAUUUAAUAACAUGAUUGAUACAAACUAAUUGAUACAAGCACACUUAAUAAAUAUAAGCUUUAUUGUGUUUCUUUUAA
Non-coding RNA from Biomphalaria pfeifferi, 807 nucleotides. Lineage: Eukaryota; Metazoa; Mollusca; Gastropoda; Planorbidae. The record is from the annotation of a GenBank genome assembly.